This 480-nucleotide ribosomal RNA is filed under the name uncultured bacterium. Its description in RNAcentral is "partial 16S ribosomal RNA". It matches the Rfam family "Bacterial small subunit ribosomal RNA", at positions 28 to 507 of the family's 1533-position model. The record is from RNAcentral.
GACGAACGCUGGCGGCGUGCUUAACACAUGCAAGUCGAACGAUGAAGAAAAGAAUUGAUGCUUCGGCAGAAAUUCAUUUCGGAUUAGUGGCAGACGGGUGAGUAACGCGUGAGCAACCUACCCCUUACAAAGGGAUAGCCUCGGGAAACCGGGAUUAAUACCAUAUAACAUUGCGACGAAGCAUUUCGAUGCAAUCAAAGCUACGGCGGUAAGAGAUGGGCUCGCGUCCCAUUAACCAGAUGGUGAGGUAACGGCUCACCAUAGUAACGAUGGGUAACCGGGCUGAGAGGGUGAACGGUCACACUGGAACUGAGACACGGUCCAGACUCCUACGGGAGGCAGCAGUGGGGAAUAUUGCACGAUGGAGGGAACUCUGAUGCAGCGACGCCGCGUGAGUGAUGAAGGAAUUCGUUUCGUAAAACUCUGUUCUAUGGGAAGAAAAGGACUGUACCAUAGGAGAAAGCUCCGGCUAAAUACGUG